Molecule: ribosomal RNA, 373 nt
Filed under: uncultured organism
Description: partial 16S ribosomal RNA
Rfam family: Bacterial small subunit ribosomal RNA
Source: RNAcentral
GUAGGUGGCAAGCGUUGUCCGGAAUUAUUGGGCGUAAAGCGCGCGCAGGCGGUUCUUUAAGUCUGAUGUGAAAGCCCAUGGCUCAACCGUGGAGGGUCAUUGGAAACUGGAGAACUUGAGUACAGAAGAGGAAAGCGGAAUUCCACGUGUAGCGGUGAAAUGCGUAGAGAUGUGGAGGAACACCAGUGGCGAAGGCGGCUUUCUGGUCUGUAACUGACGCUGAGGCGCGAAAGCGUGGGGAGCAAACAGGAUUAGAUACCCUGGUAGUCCACGCCGUAAACGAUGAGUGCUAAGUGUUAGGGGGGUUUCCGCCCCCCUUAGUGCUGCAGCUAACGCAUUAAGCACUCCGCCUGGGAGUACGGCCGCAAGGCUG